GAUGAAGAACGUAGCGAAAUGCGAUACGUAAUGUGAAUUGCAGAUUUCAGUGAAUCAUCGAAUCUUUGAACGCACAUUGCGCCCGCUAGUAUUCUGGCGGGCAUGCCUGUUCGAGCGUCAUUUCAACCAUCAAGCCCCCGGCUUGCGUUGGAGCCCUGCGGCUGCCGCAGGCUCCCAAAUCCAGUGGCGGGCUCGUCGUCGUACCGAGUGCAGUAAACAUCCUCGCUCAGGGAACGUGACGGGUUCUUGCCGUGAAACCCCCCACAUAUCAAGGUUGACCUCGGAUCAGGUAGGAAUACCCGCUGAACUUAAGCAUAUCAAUAGCGGAGGA
This 331-nucleotide unclassified non-coding RNA is filed under the name soil metagenome. RNAcentral describes it as "partial contains 5.8S ribosomal RNA, internal transcribed spacer 2, and large subunit ribosomal RNA". The stretch from base 1 to 120 matches the Rfam family "5.8S ribosomal RNA", at positions 35 to 154 of the family's 154-position model. The record is from RNAcentral.